This 377-nucleotide ribosomal RNA is filed under the name Staphylococcus aureus. RNAcentral describes it as "bacterial SSU rRNA". It matches the Rfam family "Bacterial small subunit ribosomal RNA", at positions 1033 to 1411 of the family's 1533-position model. The record is from RNAcentral. Lineage: Bacteria; Bacillati; Bacillota; Bacilli; Caryophanales; Staphylococcaceae.
GACAGGUGGUGCAUGGUUGUCGUCAGCUCGUGUCGUGAGAUGUUGGGUUAAGUCCCGCAACGAGCGCAACCCUUAAGCUUAGUUGCCAUCAUUAAGUUGGGCACUCUAAGUUGACUGCCGGUGACAAACCGGAGGAAGGUGGGGAUGACGUCAAAUCAUCAUGCCCCUUAUGAUUUGGGCUACACACGUGCUACAAUGGACAAUACAAAGGGCAGCGAAACCGCGAGGUCAAGCAAAUCCCAUAAAGUUGUUCUCAGUUCGGAUUGUAGUCUGCAACUCGACUACAUGAAGCUGGAAUCGCUAGUAAUCGUAGAUCAGCAUGCUACGGUGAAUACGUUCCCGGGUCUUGUACACACCGCCCGUCACACCACGAGAGU